RNAcentral lists this ribosomal RNA (474 nucleotides) under uncultured bacterium. Its description in RNAcentral is "bacterial SSU rRNA". It matches the Rfam family "Bacterial small subunit ribosomal RNA", at positions 24 to 495 of the family's 1533-position model. The record is from RNAcentral.
UCAGGAUGAACGCCAGCGGCAGGCCUAACACAUGCAAGUCGAGGGGUAAGGCUCUUUCGGGAGUACACGACCGGCGCACGGGUGAGUAACGCGUUUGCAACCUACCUUUAACUGGGGCAUAGCCCGGAGAAAUUCGGAUUAAUACCCCAUAACAUCAUAAAGAGGCAUCUCUUAGUGAUUAAAGCUCCGGCGGUUAAAGAUGGGCACGCGUGUCAUUAGCUUGUUGGUGAGGUAACGACUCACCAAGGCAACGAUGACUAGGGGGUCUGAGAGGAUGAUCCCCCACACUGGUACUGAGACACGGACCAGACUCCUACGGGAGGCAGCAGUGAGGAAUAUUGGGCAAUGGACGCAAGUCUGACCCAGCCAUGCCGCGUGCAGGAUGACGGCUCUAUGAGUUGUAAACUGCUUUUGUUAGGGAAGAACUGUUUCCUAACGUGUAGGGAUUUGACGGUACCUAACGAAUAAGCAUCG